AGCAACUUGACGCAGUGGAAGCGUGCAGGGCUCAUAUUGAUUGCUACCCUGAAGUCCCUGGAUCGAAACCAGGAGUUGCUA
The sequence is a transfer RNA, 81 nucleotides long. It matches the Rfam family "tRNA". Rfam says of the family: Transfer RNA (tRNA) molecules are approximately 80 nucleotides in length. Their secondary structure includes four short double-helical elements and three loops (D, anti-codon, and T loops). Further hydrogen bonds mediate the characteristic L-shaped molecular structure. tRNAs have two regions of fundamental functional importance: the anti-codon, which is responsible for specific mRNA codon recognition, and the 3' end, to which the tRNAs corresponding amino acid is attached (by aminoacyl-tRNA synthetases). tRNAs cope with the degeneracy of the genetic code in two manners: having more than one tRNA (with a specific anti-codon) for a particular amino acid; and 'wobble' base-pairing, i.e. permitting non-standard base-pairing at the 3rd anti-codon position.